Molecule: ribosomal RNA, 687 nt
Filed under: Triticum aestivum (bread wheat)
Lineage: Eukaryota; Viridiplantae; Streptophyta; Magnoliopsida; Poales; Poaceae
Description: partial small subunit ribosomal RNA
Source: RNAcentral
AUGGUUAACACAAAAUUUACGUUUUGUUGCUGGAAUGUACGGGGUCUUGGCCAAACACAAAAAUGUUCGGACGUUCUCGCAGAACUAAUCUUCGUCAAACCACAUGCAUGUUUCCUUCAGGAAACACAACUAAACUCUCCCGAUGCUCGGAAAAUUUGAUCCUUCAUCCCUGCUCAGCUUGACAUAUCUCAUCACAAAGAUGCGGAUGGCACAUCAGGGGGGAUGAUGGCCUCAUGCUCCUCUUCGCUGUUCGCUGCGAUCACAUACACCCAAUCCCGUUUAUCGCAAACAAUCUCCUUCUCAUCCUUAGCUUCACCGAUUCCACUAACAAUCACCAAUGUUUACGCCCCAACAGACCACUCACUUAAGUUAGAUUUUGUGACGCAAAUUGAGGCGGCCGCCCCCGGCCAAAAUAUGCCCUGGAUGAUCUGCGGAGACUUCAAUCUAAUGAGAUAUGCCUCGGACAAAAACAAUGACUCCUUCCGACAAAGUGAGGCUGAUCUGUUCAACCAAUGGAUUCAUAACUUGGCCCUCAUUGAGCUACCUCUCCUUGAUAGGAGAUACACUUGGUCCAAUAGGGAUAAGCAGACCUUAGAACUCCUAGACCGUGUCUUUGUAAAUGACACUUGGGAUCAGACCUUUCCCGAGUCCUCACUCUCGAGCCUCACACGCUACGUCUCCGACCAC